CUCUCCUCACUGUUGGCGGCGGCCAAAGAGCAGCUGAGGCGCAGAAACCAAAAUCUCCGUGUAGGCCUCCACCCAGAUCCGCUCCUCUCCUUCCUAGUUGUUGUGCUUGGCGCUGGGCCCUGUUGCUCAUGAAGGUCUCACGUGUAGUCGGAUGGUCAGCGGCCGGGUACGCCGCGGGUUGGUCGACAGCAGCACCAGCGCUGGCGUUCAAGUCGUCGGACGGCUAGAGCGGCCACACCAUGGCCAAAGAGUACUUGUUAGGCUCAAUUGAACUCUAAAUUGGUUUAACUGGACUGUGGUGCAUGCCGUAUUAUUGUUUUUCUUCUAUGUUGAUGCCUGUAUCAUCUUGUUUUAAACAACCUCUCUUAAGAUAUCAGUUGGUAUGUUUUGUCAAAAUUUCGGUUCAAAUUC
Molecule: long non-coding RNA, 411 nt
Organism: Panicum virgatum (switchgrass)
Lineage: Eukaryota; Viridiplantae; Streptophyta; Magnoliopsida; Poales; Poaceae
Exons: 2
Source: RefSeq, a predicted model, not a curated record